UGUUGAGGACCACUCUUUUCAAAGCCGCUUUUUAACCAGUCAGUGUUUAAUCGGCCGUGAGUGUUUCAAGAGAGAUUGUCGGGAGGCUCUAUAUCAACAAAAACAAAAAAAAGGGUGGUUUAUUAAAAAAAAAUCAGCAAAACCGUUGCAUCGCAAUGAAAUUUAUUCAAAAAUUACAAUAAAAUAACCGAAAAUUCCAAGUGUGGGCAUUAAUCGUAUGAAUUUUUAUGCUCGCAUGUGACAUACGCGACAGGCAGAGCUGCACCCACCCAUUUGACAUCGAGUUGAAGAGGGGAUGAUCCUUCGUCGCCGCAUAUAAAGUCAUAAAGUGGUGUUUAAUGGCAUUUACUCUGCCGUAUUAUGGACAAGAAAAAUGUGUGUCGAAAUCGAGACCAAUGAUGAAAUGAAUGAUUUUAAUGGAAAGAACUGUCAAGCACAACCAACUGACGCGGAAAGCGGACUUUUUCCCUUAGAAAUUCUAAUGAAUUAUUGAAUAAUUGUUAAAUUACUGAUUUAUCGUUAAAAAAAGAAAUAAAAACAAAACAAAAGAGAAAUAAAAAAUAUUGAUCCUGUUUUA
Long non-coding RNA from Episyrphus balteatus (marmalade hoverfly), 577 nucleotides. RefSeq lists it as uncharacterized. NCBI's taxonomy places the organism in Eukaryota, Metazoa, Arthropoda, Insecta, Diptera, Syrphidae. The record is from RefSeq and is a predicted model, not a curated record. The transcript is spliced from 2 exons.